This 663-nucleotide long non-coding RNA is filed under the name Micromonas commoda. Its description in RNAcentral is "long non-coding RNA (MCOM_LNC000335)". Lineage: Eukaryota; Viridiplantae; Chlorophyta; Mamiellophyceae; Mamiellales; Mamiellaceae. The record is from RNAcentral.
CGCACUCAGACGCGAAGCACUGAAUCUGGCGGGAGGCAAGGUCGGUGUCGGCCUUGAUCUGCUCGAUGAGGUCCUGGAUCUGGGCGCAGGUCUGGUUGUUGGAGACCUGGAGAAGCUUGCGGUUGGGCGCGGCGGCGGCGGCGGCGGCCUCGAAGUCGAACUCCUCGGCGUUGCACACCAUCUCCGAAACCUUCUGGAUGUUGUCCAUGUUCUGGUGGUGCUGGACGAAAGCCAUGCCGUUGUAAUCGCGGAUGGCGGCGCCAACCUUGCACGCGUGGGACGCGUUGUUGUAGGCGUACACCCAGCUAUCGUAGGCGAGACGGUAGGACUCGUGGGCAUCCUUGGUCACGUCGUAGAUGGUGGACUUGCAGGGGGAGUUGUCCACGUCGAGCUUGUUGUAGGAGUUGGUGGCGUCGAUGACCUUCUGGGCCGCGAGAUCGCAAGCGGUCGCGGAGUUGUCGAGGAGGUCGCAGAUGCCGUCAACGGUGGGCGCGCACACGCCGAAGGAGGCGGAGGUGGAGUUGCACUUGGGGGGAAUCGCGAGGUGGCAGUCGGUGUCGCAAGCGCCGCCGUCGCAGAACUCGGACUGGGAGAACUUGUUCAUGGGGGGGGUCGCGCAGGUGAGGAUGGCGAAGUGCUCAGUGUUCACCUCGUAGGUGACGG